RNAcentral lists this long non-coding RNA (1149 nucleotides) under Diabrotica virgifera virgifera (western corn rootworm). Its description in RNAcentral is "uncharacterized LOC126884480". Lineage: Eukaryota; Metazoa; Arthropoda; Insecta; Coleoptera; Chrysomelidae. The record is from RNAcentral.
AACAGCCGGUUUCCGAAACGUUAUUCAAAUCUUCGAUCAUCUAAUCGAGCUGUUAGAUUUGAUCAACUGUUAACCAGUGACGAGUUUCUCAAACGUCGAUCAUCUUAAAAUUAUAUGAUCGUAGAAAAUCGAUUAUCUGACAUACGAUUUGGUAUCGAUACUGUCACAAUCGGCUGUCAUCCUUCAAAAUUUCAUUUUAUAACCAAAAAAUUUCAAUCCAUAGUAAAUAACUACAUAAUUUAUAUAAUUAAAAAAUAUAUUAAAAAUGAGCAAUACCAACGGAAAUCCUCCACGCAAAAAUUAUACUGAGAGAGAGAGAGAAAUGUUUGCUGUUGGAAAUAAUUGGAAAAUACAAGCAUAUUAAAUUGAAAACAAAUAAUGUACCAAUGCUAUGUCCACCAACCAAAACAAUGAAACCUGGGAAAAAAUAGCGCUGAAUUUCCCAGAACUCCCAAGCAGCUGAACACUGCAUAUAUAAACUUAAAAAGGGUCACUAGCCAAAAAGUAGCAGAGGAAAAUAUUCAAAAAUAUAAUGAGCAGAAGGUUUUGGACCAGUUGAAGAGAGACCAAACUGCGGACAAAAAAGACAUACUUGCAACAGGUGGUGGCACAUUUAGGCCUCGUCUCACAGAUGUAGGGGCACAAAUGUUGAGUUUGAUUGGCAAUCAAAUCCAACCUUUACCCAACAGUUGUGACAGUGCAUCUGGUUUCUUCACAUCUGUUGCACAAGACAGUCAAGUGGAAGUAGAUUACCUACAAUUGGAAGACACAUAGCAGACGUCCAAUGUACCCUCUACUUCCACUGUGCUGCUCAGUACACCCACGACAACUGCUGUCCUGCCCAAGAAGACAGCCAAGAUGUCUCAGGCUCGUUCAAAAAAUAAAAAAGUAAAAGAUGUAGGGAGCGAAACCCUUAAUGUAUCUUUUACAAAAAAAAUUGAAACAGCAAGACUAGAAAAAAGAAGUAAGAUAGUAUUUUUCAACAAGAAAAAAAGAAAUUUUAGAAGUAGAGCUUCAAAUAAAAAAAUUCGAUCUCAAUAAAUUAUUCUGUAAUAGUGGUUAGGUAUGUACCUAAUAAAGUAAUUUUAAAUAAAAAUUGUAAUUUCUUUAAAUAAUAAAAUUAAUAAAAAAUGUGUUUUUCAAAGUUUA